UACGUAGGGUGCGAGCGUUGUCCGGAUUUAUUGGGCGUAAAGAGCUCGUAGGCGGUUUGUCGCGUCGGCCGUGAAAUCUCCACGCUUAACGUGGAGCGUGCGGUCGAUACGGGCAGACUUGAGUUCGGUAGGGGAGACUGGAAUUCCUGGUGUAGCGGUGAAAUGCGCAGAUAUCAGGAGGAACACCGGUGGCGAAGGCGGGUCUCUGGGCCGAUGACUGACGCUGGAGGAGCGAAAGCGUGGGGAGCGAACAGG
This 255-nucleotide ribosomal RNA is filed under the name uncultured bacterium. RNAcentral's name for it is "partial 16S ribosomal RNA". It matches the Rfam family "Bacterial small subunit ribosomal RNA", at positions 524 to 776 of the family's 1533-position model. The record is from RNAcentral.